AUUGAACGCUGGCGGCAUGCCUAACACAUGCAAGUCGAGCGGAUGAAGGGAGCGUUCGCCUGUAUUCAGCGGCGGACGGGUGGGUGAGUCCUAGGAAGCUACCUGGUAGUGGGGGAUAAGGUAAGUAAACGGGAGCUAAGACAGCAUACGUCCUGAGGGAGAAAGUGGGGGAUCUUCGGACCUCACGCUAUCAGAUGAGCCUAAGUCGGAUUAGCUAGUUGGUGGGGUAAAGGCCUACCAAGGCGACGAUCCGUAACUGGUCUGAGAGGAUGAUCAGUCACACUGGAACUGAGAAACGGUCCAGACUCCUACGGGAGGCAGCAGUGGGGAAUAUUGGACAAUGGGCGAAAGCCUGACCCAGCCAUGCCGCGUGUGUGAAGAAGGUCUUCGGAUUGUAAAGCACUUUAAGUUGGGAGGAAGGGCAGUAAGUUAAUACCUUGACGUUUUGACGUUACCAACAGAAUAAGCACCGGCUAACUUCGUG
Molecule: ribosomal RNA, 484 nt
Filed under: uncultured bacterium
Lineage: Bacteria
Description: partial 16S ribosomal RNA
Rfam family: Bacterial small subunit ribosomal RNA
Source: RNAcentral